GAGAAGUUUUUAUACCUGGUUUGCACGCUGUGAUCCUUACUUCUUGGAGUUCUCUCACCUGGAAUCAGCAGGUGAGCGAAGACCACACACUGCGGAGUUUCUCACCUGUGAAGCUAAGAAAAUAAAAACGUACUGGCGCAUCUAGCUCGGCAUCUUGCUCUCUCAGUGGCCAACCCCAUGCUUGAGCUCUCCGAAUGAAGGAACUCCACAGGUGAAGUGUGAUGCUGCAAUUAGCAAAUCUUCAUAAUUGUUUCACACGCCCAUGUCAGGGGAAAUGCCACAGCUGUCCAGUCGUGAACUACUCUGGGGUUGCGGCGCUCAUCUCGCUUUACUGGACGAUGGAGUCGGCGUUUGUCCGCAGACAGU
This is a non-coding RNA of Podarcis muralis (Common wall lizard), 366 nucleotides long. NCBI's taxonomy places the organism in Eukaryota, Metazoa, Chordata, Lepidosauria, Squamata, Lacertidae. The record is from RefSeq and is a predicted model, not a curated record.